UCUCAAGAAAAGAAUUUUAGUCCAACCUAAAGUACAACUACAUACGCACAAAUUACCCUCUUACUUUAGAGCAAUUCAAAUAAGGUACAGCCUAUUUGAUACAGGACCCAACCUUAACUAACGGGUAACAUUUAAUUUACAUCUAUAAGUAGGCCUAAGAGCAGCCACCUUUUAAAAAGCGUCAUAGCUUACACGUUUAUUCUAAUUCCUCAGCCUACAUAGACCCCUUUAACUGUACUGAGAACUUCUAUAACAUUAUAGAACCUUUUAUGCUAAAACUAGUAACAAGAGUCAGCCCCUCUCCACAAUGCAAGUACAGCCCAGCAAGAACCCACCACUGGCACCUAACAGACCUAAACAAAAGUAGCAACUUAUACCAGAAAACUCUACUUUAAUUACUGUUGACCUUACACCAGAGCAUUUCAAGAAAGAUUAAAAGAAAAAGAAGGAACUCGGCAAACAUUAGCCCCGCCUGUUUACCAAAAACAUCGCCUCUUGUCCAUAUAAGAGGUCCAGCCUGCCCAGUGACUCUUGUUCAACGGCCGCGGUAUCCUAACCGUGCAAAGGUAGCGUAAUCACUUGUCUUCUAAAUAAAGACCAGUAUGAAAGGCAUCACGAGGGCUAAACUGUCUCCUUUCCCUAAUCAGUGAACCUAAUCUCCCCGUGAAGAAGCGGGGAUUAUUGUAUAAGACGAGAAGACCCUAUGGAGCUUUAAACAUCACAACACCUGCCUUACAUUUUUAUCUACCCAGGUAUACCCCCUCACAGCACACUGAUUGUAUGUUUUUGGUUGGGGUGACCGCGGAGAAAAACUAAUCCUCCGCAAUGAAAGGGAUCUUCCCUAAACAAUAAGCCACAACUUUAUGUAUCCACAAAUUGACAUCAUUGACCCAAUAUAUUUGAUUAACGAACCAAGUUACCCUAGGGAUAACAGCGCAAUCCACUUCAAGAGCCCCUAUCGACAAGUGGGCUUACGACCUCGAUGUUGGAUCGGGGUAUCCUAGUGGUGCAGCCGCUACUAAGGUUCGUUUGUUCAACGAUUAAAACCC
This 1049-nucleotide ribosomal RNA is filed under the name Pristimantis sp. 4 MT-2017. RNAcentral describes it as "partial 16S ribosomal RNA". It matches the Rfam family "Bacterial large subunit ribosomal RNA", at positions 855 to 2596 of the family's 2925-position model. The record is from RNAcentral. Lineage: Eukaryota; Metazoa; Chordata; Amphibia; Anura; Strabomantidae.